AAUGGAAGAACCAGCUGGCCUAUCCAUUGCCGUAAGGUAUUGGUAAACCGUUGAAACUCUUCCGUGACCGGGAUAGGGAAUUGUAGUUAUUUCCCUUGAAC
Non-coding RNA from Angiostrongylus cantonensis (rat lungworm), 101 nucleotides. NCBI's taxonomy places the organism in Eukaryota, Metazoa, Nematoda, Chromadorea, Rhabditida, Metastrongylidae. The record is from Rfam.